This 836-nucleotide long non-coding RNA is filed under the name Gallus gallus (chicken). The record is from RNAcentral. Lineage: Eukaryota; Metazoa; Chordata; Aves; Galliformes; Phasianidae.
GAGGGAAGGGCGCGAGCUGAGGAAAGGCGGGAACGGGCUGAGAGCAGCUCUGAGGGGAAGGCGGGAACGGACUGAGGGAGCGAGGCUGGCUGCAACGGAGGGGAGGCUCUGAGAGACGCGGGAGCGAGCUGAGGGGAAGGAGCUGAAGAGAAGUUGGGAGCGAGCUGAAAGAAGCAGGGCCGAAGCCGAGGGCAAGCUCUGAGGGGCUGGUGCCUGCGCUGAGCCGAAGGAGAGCCCCGGUUUGUGCUGCUCAGUGAGAGAGGGGACAGGUUCCCUUUCAGUGGUGGAAAACGGAGAGAUUUAGGAGGGGCGGUGGAGAAAAUGCUGGAGAAGUGUCUGGAGUGCCCGUGGAAGUCCUGAUUCCAUGUGUAUGUAAUGUGUGCUGCUGAGGAGGUGCAGAGCAUGGCUGGGAAGAGAUGUCCCCACCUGUUGGACUCGCAAGUGCAGCUACAGGUAAGAGAAAAUUUCUCUGAUGAAGUAAAUGGAAGGCAAAGGAGCAAAUCCAAUUCUGUGACAGAAUGGUUCCAGUUCUGUGUUUAGAAUUGGGUGACAUGAAUACUCUUACAGGUACAACAACUUAUACCUUUAGAAACAUGUAAGAAGAUGGAUGGACAGUGCUGGAUUAGUUUGAUCUAUUAUUUUUUGCUUUAAAUUGAGUUCAGCAUGCUAUUUUCUAGCUUAUCUCCCUAUCUCUUUUUUUUUUUCCUGUCCUGUCUCUUCAGUUCCUUUUUGGAAUUUAAUAUCUCCCCUUGGUGAUUUCUGUUCCUUAUCUUCUCUUGAUCUAUUUCUGCUUCUCUGUUAGAUUCUGUCCCCUUGAAACUCCAACCAAUGUCUCC